Long non-coding RNA from Neofelis nebulosa (Clouded leopard), 2363 nucleotides. RefSeq lists it as uncharacterized. The record is from RefSeq and is a predicted model, not a curated record. The transcript is spliced from 3 exons. Lineage: Eukaryota; Metazoa; Chordata; Mammalia; Carnivora; Felidae.
GAUGCCACUCGGUCCUCGAAAUAGCAACAAUCACCAUGUGAUCUGGCAGAUGACGCAGCGCUUGUAACCGGAGCCUAAAGACUUUGUGGGGUGUGUGUGUGUGUGUGCGAGAGGGUGAGAGGGUUCAUGAACACCGCGCCGCCUUCACCCGGCAGCCGCAUUAAUUCACCUUGCUUUUCACCGUCCGCUUCUCUUCUGCUCUGGAUCAGGACUAUAAGGAAGGCAGGUGGAAAUCUAGGUGCUGAGAGUGAGCGUGACCACGGACACACAACCAGCAAGGAAAUGGGGACCUCAGUCUUACCGUGGCAGAAAACAGUCCUAUCCCAGCCAUGACAGCUUGGAAGAUGACCCUGAGGCCCAGAGGAGAGUGUAGGCUAGUUGGCAUGUUGGCCUCAGCCUUAGGAGACCUUGAGCAGGGAAUCCAGCCAAGCCGCGCCCAGACUUCUCACCUCCAGAACAGUAAGAUAAGAGGUCCCAGGCAUGCCGCUGGACGACUGGGGACACACAGAGACAAGUAGGACACGGUGUCCACCCUCCAGAAACGGACGAGCGUGUGGGAGCAGCCGAGGGAUGGACACACAUACGUAAAUGACUAUCGCAAAGCUGUAGUGAAAAAUGAGGUUAUCCCGGUGCAAAGGAAGGGGCGGGGGAAACACUGGAUGCUGAGUGUGUGUGAAUGUGAGUGUGAGAGAGAGACAGAGACGUAGUGCCCACCGGAGAGCAAGAACCACCACAUCACCGAUUGAUACGUGCCCACUUUGUUGAAACCGAAGGAGUAACUUGGUAAACAAAUGAACGAGGUAGUUGAAUUUCCGGUGUGGGAGACAGAAGGCCACACGCUUACCGGAAAGUCUACGUGGAGAGACGAGGGCCAUGUGGAGGCCCCUCCAAGGACUGUGAAUUUUAUCCUAGGAGGCACUGAGGAUUUAAUAAAAUGCCAUAACCAGGGAAAUUGUACGGUAAGUGACAUAUGGAAAGUUCCAAAGUGAUAUUUGAAAACAACCAACUACAUCUGUAGCACCCAUAAAGUGAUAGAAUAGUGUCCCCGUGGGAUUUUAUGUUCGUUCAAUUCUGCAAAGACUGAUUUUUCCUUGUGAGUGUGCAAAUCCAUUCACCAGGAAAAUUGGGUUAAGAUCAUCAGAUUACAGAAAUACCAUUCCCGGACAGAGCGACCCUUGUGGUUCUGAACACGUGUGUUUGUUUAACAGCUCACACCAUACAUUCAAGCUAUCGUUCUAUUUGUGGGAGAACUGAGUCCAUUCAUCUUUCAGAAAAAUUAAAUCAUGUUCCCAAUAAAGACAAAAUUAAUAAGCUAAUAUACAGGGUAGUAGGAAAUGCUUAUUAGCUUAUAGCAUGCGAGAAGGCAUUUUUCAGUUGCUACUACUCAGGGGGCUGUGUGUGUAGGAAAGUAGGAAAAAGUGGGGGGGGAUCAGCAUGAGCAAGGAGAAAACAUGUUAUCGACGCGUCAUCUUUAACAGUAAAAAUUGAUGAUGCUAUACUCAGAAAAUGAAGAGUAGUGUGUUUGGGGCGCCUGGGCGGCUCGGUGCAUUGAGUGUCCUACUUUGGCUCAGGUUAUGAUCUCAUAGUUCCUGGGUUCGAGCCCCACGUCAGGCUCUUGGCUGUCAACACAGAGCCUACUUUGGAUCCUGUCUCCCUCUCUCUUUCUGCCCCUCCCCCAUUUGUGCACGUGUGUGUGUGUGUGUGUGUGUGCGCUCUCUCUCUCAAAAAUAAAAAAAAGAGUAGUGUGAUUAAUCAAAAUUCCCUGAAUACUAUGCUAUAUCUCGCCAGAUAGACUUAUCUGUACAUUCAAUGCAAUUCCAACAAUUUUCAGGGUAAAAGUUGAUGAGUUGAUCUUAAAAUUCAUAUGAAACAAAUAUUUCAAGAUUUAAAAUGACCAAAACACAACAAAAACUAUGGUCCUGGACUGUCAACCCUCAAGUGUACUGUAAGGCUAUAAUAAUUAAACCAAUGUGAUCAUUUCCUUUUUAAAAAUGGGCCAAGGAAAACACACAGUUUAGAAGCCAAUCCUCAUCUAUGUGGAAAUGUAAUUUAUUAUAAAAGUAGCAUUUCAAAUUAUUGGAAAACUAAUGUUCACAAAUCAGAAGAAAAUUUAUGUAAUACAGAUUUUAAAUAUAUUGUAUAUGUUUAUUCAGAUAUAACAUAUGUAUAUGAUGUUUUUCCCACUUUUCAGUAUGCUGAAAUAUACAUAACAUAAAGUUUACUGUGUAACCAUUUCUCAAUGUAUAGCUUGGUGACAUUAAGUCCACUCACGUUGUUGUGCGAAAAUCCCACCAUCCCUCUCUACUACUUUUCCAUAACUGAAACUCUGUCCCCAUUAUACAGUAGCUGACUUCUCCCCUCCC